Molecule: long non-coding RNA, 2220 nt
Organism: Neofelis nebulosa (Clouded leopard)
Lineage: Eukaryota; Metazoa; Chordata; Mammalia; Carnivora; Felidae
Exons: 2
Source: RefSeq, a predicted model, not a curated record
CUGAAUAUGAUGCUCAAGUGACACAGGCAUUGACUACAAGUUGGACAAAAUGGCCUUUUAGUUUAUGCCAGGCCUGAGACUCUGAGUUUAUAAUUCUCCGGCUGGGGGGAAGUAAACUUUACUCACCAAUGCCUGUGCUGAUCAGAUAACCUCAAAGCCCAGACACACUGCAUAAUUCUCCGACAGCAAUAACUCAGCUGGCAGUUCCCAGGCAGAGAUGUGGGAGAAAGUCCAAUAUCCGGGAAGCGCUAGGAUCUACAACUUCCUGUGGUCUGCCUAGUGAAAUUUGACCAGAUAAGAACAGUUAAUAAGAAGCUCUUGAGAUAGAAAAGCUCCUUUUAUUUCUGAAUGCGGGUAUAUUGAUGUUAAAUACCUGAAUGGAUGAGGUUAAUUUGAAUAAUCUUCUAUUGUUGCAAGAAAUAUGGAAAAGUAUUCAGGAAAACUAGAAAAAUUCUUCAUACUUGUGGCAUGAACUGAAAGAAGUCUUUCACUGUUUUGACAAAUGAUGACUCCACUGUUUUGUGUGAGGGUAGAAGCUUUUAAGGACUGGACCCCAAGGCACCCCAUUGUGGUGCUUAGGAAAAGAUCAAGCCUCAUAUUCUGGACCUUCCUUCUAUAACACUUUGCAAGUCAUGCCAGAUUCCCAUCAAGGCUGAACAAUUUGCCUUGAGGCCCCCAAAUAUUUCCAAAUGUAGUUAAUGGCUUCAAAAAGAAAACAAGCAUUGCAAUGAAAGCACUUAAUGUCUAUAAAUUCAAUUGCCAAGAAGUUCUUCUCUUUUGAAUACUCAAAGGACAGGAUCCCUGGGCAAUGACUUAUUGUUUCCCUUGCCUGCACUGCAAUGAUUACAGAGACUGUCCAGGUAAAUAUUGUGAUAACUAGAUUCUGCUAGUGAUCUCUCCCUUCUUUAUUUUCUUGAAACAAUUUUAUAACUGUGAUCAUAUUCCCCCUUUUCUCCUGUCAUCAUGUGGGGAUAAGCUUACUAUAAAAUGUCAGAAGCUGCAUUCAUGGCUCAAAAUCCCUUGGUAAACAAAACCGAGCUAUGGGCCUGAUAAAGAUUUAGCAAGAAAGCAGCAUAGCUUAGUAUUUGACUGAGAGGUCUGUUGUCAGGCGGAUCCUGAAUUAAAUCCCCACAUCUGCCACUUACUAAUUGUGUCACUUCUGUGCAUCUCGGUUUCUUCAUCUGGAAAAUGGAUAUGAUAAUAGUCAUACUUAUCUCAUAGGAUUGCUUUAGGGGUAAAAUAAAACAAAGCACAGCCGUGCCUGAUUAAAAUAUUCAGUAAAUGGUAACUACUGUUAUUAUUGAGAAGCAGAUUUCCUCAUCAAGUUCUUAAGAUGAGAGGAUGUCGUGGAAGUGGUAACUGAGAAGUAUACCAUCAAUUAUCCUGUUGAGUUGGCAUAAUCUAAGAUUAGAGGUAUUUGUGGAGAGCUGCAACUGUAGUCCUUUAGGGCCUCUGCAAUGCCUGGGACUACAGCAAUAUUAGAGGAUGCUUGGACAGUAGCGAUUUUGAACACCUAAAUCCUUGGCCACUUGAGCAAAGUAGGUAAAGGAUAGGGGUAGCCUUUAGUUACAUUACAAGACAGGAUAAACACAGGGGUAUAAUAUCUUGUGCCUGUCUUACUGUUUUACUUCUCCAGCAAAAGGCUGACAGCUCACUAUUUGGCUUUUGCAUCGAAUAUCAUAAACCCAAUAAGGUGGUAGAAAUGCCUUUAUAAUUCUUGCUUUGGGGGAUAUGGCUUGGGUAAGGUGGAGAGCAAAGGUGAGGCAUUCUGUGAAGAACUCCCAUUCUCUUAGGAGUUUGAAACACAUCAGAGUUCUGCACCUGAAGAGAGAAGGGAAGCUGGAAGACACAGUGGAUUGGCUUUUCAUACAUCUGGGAUUGGACUGAAGUGGGAGUGGACUGAUUGGACUGAAGUGCUAAGAGUAUGGAAUUGUUCAUUUUUGUUGUUAGAGUAUCAGUUGCCUAGAAUAAAGGUAUUUGUUGACACAGUGAGGUCUAGGUCUUAAGGCACAUACAUGAACUUGACACAAAACUUUGGGGAAUCCAUUUGCCUCUGCCUCUAUGAGACUUAAGUUUUCUUUUCUUUGUCUUUUUUGAAAAUCAGUGGAAUUUACAUAUAGUGAAAUACACAUAUCUUAAGCAUGAAACUGAUGAAUUAUGACAGACGUGUACACCUAUGUAACCACAAGCCCAAUAAAGGUAUGGAAUACUUCUACAAUC